CCUACGGGCGGCAGCCGUGGGGGAUAUUGCACAAUGGGGGAAACCCUGAUGCAGCGACGCCGCGUGGGUGAAGAAGCGCCUCGGCGCGUAAAGCCCUGUCAGCAGGGAAGAAAAUGACGGUACCUGAAGAAGAAGCCCCGGCUAAUUACGUGCCAGCAGCCGCGGUAAUACGUAGGGGGCAAGCGGUAUCCGGAUUUACUGGGUGUAAAGGGGGCGCAGCCGGCGAUGCAAGCCAGGAGUGAAAGCCCGGGGCCCAACCCCGGGACUGCUCUUGGAACUGCGUGGCUAGAGUGCAGGAGGGGCAGGCGGAAUUCCUGGUGUAGCGGUGAAAUGCGUAGAUAUCAGGAGGAACACCGGUGGCGAAGGCGGCCUGCUGGACUGCAACUGACGUUGAGGCCCGAAAGCGUGGGGAGCAAACAGGAUUAGAUACCCCUGUAGUC
This 440-nucleotide ribosomal RNA is filed under the name uncultured bacterium. RNAcentral's name for it is "partial 16S ribosomal RNA". It matches the Rfam family "Bacterial small subunit ribosomal RNA", at positions 338 to 795 of the family's 1533-position model. The record is from RNAcentral.